Molecule: transfer RNA, 63 nt
Filed under: Artyfechinostomum sufrartyfex
Lineage: Eukaryota; Metazoa; Platyhelminthes; Trematoda; Plagiorchiida; Echinostomatidae
Also listed under: 1 other name
Description: tRNA-Val
Rfam family: tRNA
About the family: Transfer RNA (tRNA) molecules are approximately 80 nucleotides in length.
Source: RNAcentral
GGCGAUGUAGUUUAAUUGAAAAUUUCUAUUUUACACGUAGGAGAUGGGGUUUCUCUAUUGCCA